UCAACUUGAGAGUUUGAUCCUGGCUCAGAACGAACGCUGGCGGCAGGCUUAACACAUGCAAGUCGAACGCAUCGCAAGAUGAGUGGCAGACGGGUGAGUAACGCGUGGGAACAUACCCUUUUCUACGGAAUAGCUCUGGGAAACUGGAAUUAAUACCGUAUACGCCCUACGGGGGAAAGAUUUAUCGGGGAAGGAUUGGCCCGCGUUGGAUUAGCUAGUUGGUGGGGUAAAGGCCUACCAAGGCGACGAUCCAUAGCUGGUCUGAGAGGAUGAUCAGCCACAUUGGGACUGAGACACGGCCCAAACUCCUACGGGAGGCAGCAGUGGGGAAUAUUGGACAAUGGGCGCAAGCCUGAUCCAGCCA
This 364-nucleotide ribosomal RNA is filed under the name Agrobacterium tumefaciens. RNAcentral describes it as "bacterial SSU rRNA". It matches the Rfam family "Bacterial small subunit ribosomal RNA", at positions 1 to 394 of the family's 1533-position model. The record is from RNAcentral. RNAcentral also lists the same sequence under 1 other name. Lineage: Bacteria; Pseudomonadati; Pseudomonadota; Alphaproteobacteria; Hyphomicrobiales; Rhizobiaceae.